GGCGGGACGCCCGCACCAGCGGCAAAGGGCAGCGGCGGCGGCGGCAGCGGCAGGACAGGCAACGCUGGUGGCGGGAAGAAGCCUGAGACAUCAACCUAUGAAGACUGUGAAGACAAUCCUGAGUAGUAUUUGUGAAUUGUGUUGCUGAUAGACUUGUUUGUUCUGCAGAGCAUCUGUAGUGAAUCUCAUUGAUUGUUUUUAUUGGCCCAGAGCCAAAACUACUGGAUUCGGUUGACUUCAGGAUUAAAAGAAAACAGUCUUGGUUAUUACUAUAAACAUAUGAACCACUGUGAUGGUGAAAUGAGAUGAGGCUCCGAAAUGGAACUGUAGCCACUGCUUUAGCAUUUAUCACUUCGUUCCUUACUUUAUCUUGGUAUACUACAUGGCAAAAUGGGAAAG
Manis javanica (Malayan pangolin) is the source of this 399-nucleotide non-coding RNA. The record is from RefSeq and is a predicted model, not a curated record. NCBI's taxonomy places the organism in Eukaryota, Metazoa, Chordata, Mammalia, Pholidota, Manidae.